UUUUUCCUCCCCCCCCUCCUUAAUUUUUUUUUUUUAUUUGUUUGUGCUUACAAAAAAAAUUUGCGGGGGGGGGGGGCCCCCCCCCUUUAAUAACCAACAAAAUAUGGAAAAAAAGAGAGAAAAAAAUUUUGGGGGGGGGGGGGGGGGGGGGAAAAAUUGGGGUUUUUUUCCCUUUUGCCCCGGGAAAAAACCGGGGGAAAAUUUUGUUUUAUCCCAAAAAAAUUUUUUUGGGGAAAAAUUUUUUCGCACCAUGGGAGGGCCCGCCCUUUGAUUAUUUUUUUGGGGGGGUAAGGGCUACCCAGCCAAAUGAUCAUAAGUUGAUUGGAGAGGAGGUCAGCCCCCUUGGGGAUUGAGACCCCGCCCCAAAUUCUAUCGGAAGCCAGCAUUAAGGAAUCUUGCCCAUGGAGGAAACUCUGAUGCAGCGAUGCCGCUUGAGUGAAGAAGGCUUUUGGGUGUAAAGCUCUUUCGUCGGGGAAGAAAAUGACUGUACCCGAUAGAAAAGUUCCGCCUAAUUUCGUGCCAGCAGCCGCGGUAAUACGAAGGGACCUAGCGUAGUUCGGAAUUACUGGGCUUAAAGAGUUCGUAGGUGGUUAAAAAAGUUGGUGGUGAAAUCCCAGAGCUUAACUCUGGAACUGCCAUCAAAACUUUUUAGCUAGAGUAUGAUAGAGGAAAGCAGAAUUUCUAGUGUAGAGGUGAAAUUCGUAGAUAUUAGAAAGAAUACCGAUUGCGAAGGCAGCUUUCUGGAUCAUUACUGACACUGAGGAACGAAAGCAUGGGUAGCGAAGAGGAUUAGAUACCCUCGUAGUCCAUGCCGUAAACGAUGUGUGUUAGACGUUGGAAAUUUAUUUUCAGUGUCGCAGCGAAAGCGAUAAACACACCGCCUGGGGAGUACGACCGCAAGGUUAAAACUCAAAUGAAUUGACGGGGACCCGCACAAGUAGUGGAGCAUGUGGUUUAAUUCGAAGAUACGCGCAGAACCUUACCAACACUUGACAUGUUCGUCGCGACUCUAAGAGAUUAGAGUUUUCGGUUCGGCCGGACGAAACACAGGUGCUGCAUGGCUGUCGUCAGCUCGUGUCGUGAGAUGUUGGGUUAAGUCCCGCAACGAGCGCAACCCUUACUUUUAGUUGCCAUCAUUUAGUUGGGCACUCUGAAAGAACUGCCAGUGAUAAGCUGGAGGAAGGUGGGGAUGACGUCAAGUCCUCAUGGCCCUUACGUGUUGGGCUACACACGUGCUACAAUGGUAUCUACAACAGGAAGCAAAAUGGCAACAUUAAGCAAAUCCCAAAAAGAUACCUCAGUUCGGAUUGCACUCUGCAACUCGAGUGCAUGAAGCUGGAAUUACUAGUAAUCGGGAUCAGCGUGCCCAUCUGUAUCGCCCCC
Molecule: ribosomal RNA, 1383 nt
Filed under: uncultured bacterium
Lineage: Bacteria
Description: partial 16S ribosomal RNA
Rfam family: Bacterial small subunit ribosomal RNA
Source: RNAcentral